RNAcentral lists this ribosomal RNA (830 nucleotides) under uncultured bacterium. RNAcentral's name for it is "bacterial SSU rRNA". It matches the Rfam family "Bacterial small subunit ribosomal RNA", at positions 97 to 929 of the family's 1533-position model. The record is from RNAcentral.
GGCGCACGGGCGCGUAACGCGUAUGCAACCUACCUUUUACUGGGGGAUAGCCCGGAGAAAUCUGGAUUAAUACCCCAUGGUACCAAAUGGUCGAAUGACUGAAUGGUUAAAGAUUUAUCGGUAAGAGAUGGGCAUGCGUCUGAUUAGCUAGUUGGCGGGGUAACGGCCCGCCAAGGCGACGAUCAGUAGGGGUUCUGAGAGGAAGGUCCCCCACACUGGCACUGAGAUACGGGCCAGACUCCUACGGGAGGCAGCAGUAGGGAAUAUUGGGCAAUGGUCGCAAGACUGACCCAGCCAUGCCGCGUGCAGGAAGACGGCCCUCUGGGUUGUAAACUGCUUUUAUCUGGGAAGAAAAAGUCCAUGCGUGGAAAAUUGCCGGUACCAGAUGAAUAAGCACCGGCUAAUUCCGUGCCAGCAGCCGCGGUAAUACGGAGGGUGCAAGCGUUGUCCGGAUUUAUUGGGUUUAAAGGGUGCGUAGGCGGCUGAAUAAGUCAGCGGUGAAAGACUUCGGCUUAACCGGAGCAGUGCCGUUGAUACUGUUUAGCUUGAGUGUUGGAGGGGUACAUGGAAUUGAUGGUGUAGCGGUGAAAUGCAUAGAUACCAUCAGGAACACCGAUAGCGAAGGCAUUGUACUGGCCAACAACUGACGCUGAGGCACGAAAGUGUGGGGAUCGAACAGGAUUAGAUACCCUGGUAGUCCACGCCCUAAACGUUGAUUACUCGCUGUUGGCGAUACACUGUCAGCGGCUAAGCGAAAGCGUUAAGUAAUCCACCUGGGAAGUACGACCGCAAGGUUGAAACUCAAAGGAAUUGACGGGGGCCCGCACAAG